UGUUGAAGAAGCUAUGUUGACACUGAUUGAGCCUGUUGCUAUUACUGGCUUACCAGGGGGUUUAUGAAAAUGAGACUGAAGUAGAUGAUGUUACAGAACCAACUCCUGGGCCAUCUGGGAUAGCAUCUCAGAUCAUAACAACUCAGCAGUUAUUGUAACAUUGGAUGAGGGAACUUCAGCAGAGCAAGAAAUGACAAUACCCAUUGUGUCAAUGGACCACACUCCUCAGAAUUAGCUCCUUUUUUAAUAGAACACAGUAACACUCAGGAUGGAUUUAGUGCAACAGUCCAACAAGCAGAGCACUUUCAAGAAGAGAGCACCUCAGCUUGAGCAGGAGGAGGUAGUAGGCUUGAGGUAGUGCAUGGUCAAAAAAGCAGAUCAGAAGAAAGGAGAAUUUUGCCUGACAUGCUUCAGGUACAAACAAAUAUAGAAAGUCACUUGAAACAGCUUGUAAGCUCAGUGAAAGACGCUGCAUCGGCAUUACAAACAAUUGCUGAUGCUAUGAAAGAUAAGGCGUACGUUCCUAUUUUUGUCAAAUGUUAUAAUAUUUUAGUUUUUCUUAAUCUAGUACACAGUUGACAUUAAUUUUGUGAUGGGCAUUUGUAUAUUUAACAAAGUCAUAAUAUGAAGUUGUGGCUUGAGAGACUGUUAUUAUACAAAAUAAGUCUUUAUUUUGGAGUUACUUUAUUAUUUUUUUUAUUGUAGAUUAAGACAAAAAUCCAUUAAAUAUUAUUUAUUUUUGUUCAUGUUAAUGUUUGCAUUGAGGUUGUGAGAAGUGUUUUUUUGUUUUAUGUUGUAGGUUAAGACCAUUUUUUUGAGUCAGGAUUUUAUUUAUUUAUUUAUU
RNAcentral lists this long non-coding RNA (844 nucleotides) under Penaeus monodon (black tiger shrimp). RNAcentral's name for it is "uncharacterized LOC119569727". The record is from RNAcentral. Lineage: Eukaryota; Metazoa; Arthropoda; Malacostraca; Decapoda; Penaeidae.